CGAGGUAGUGGCAGGGACGUCCGACAGCAAAGCAAGGGAGGAGCUCGCUGCCGGGGCUGCACGCCAUGGUUGCCGAGCUAACAGCAGGGGAAUCUUUCGGCCAGGGAGGAAAGAGAAAAAAAAAUGGGGCGAGCUCUGCUGGAAUUUCUGGGCGCCGUCCAAGGAAGCUGCUGCCGCUGCUUUGGGGGAAGGAGGAUGGGCUGCUGCAUCCAUGGAUAGGGAGCGGACUGUGCUGCGGGGAAGAGGAACAGGGAGGGCGCUGGCUGGGAGAGGGAGCUCGGCGACCACCAUGGCUGGGUUGUGGAGCAGAGGACACGCCCAGCAGGGAGGGCGCUGGUAGAGAGAUAGGAGUAGGGGCCUCACGCCAUGGGAGAGAGGGCACAGGGGGCUUGGACGCCAUGGAUCCAGGGAGGAGCUUCAGCGCCGAGGAAGAAGGAGCAGGGGCGCCAGCUUGCUGCUCGCCAUGGAGGGGGCGCCGGCCAUGGAGAGGAAAGGAGCCGUGCUCCCUGCGCGCUGGCUGUGUGCGUGGGAGAAGAAGACAGGGAGAAGAGAGAGUGGCGGCUAGGGAAAAUGCAG
Molecule: unclassified non-coding RNA, 576 nt
Filed under: Zea mays
Lineage: Eukaryota; Viridiplantae; Streptophyta; Magnoliopsida; Poales; Poaceae
Description: misc RNA Zm00001eb306970
Source: RNAcentral